UACAGAGGUCCCAAGCGUUGUUCGGAUUCAUUGGGCGUAAAGGGUGCGUAGGCGGCGCGGUAAGUCGGGUGUGAAAUCUCGGGGCUUAACUCCGAAACUGCAUUCGAUACUGCCGUGCUUGAGGACUGGAGAGGAGACUGGAAUUUACGGUGUAGCGGUGAAAUGCGUAGAUAUCGAGAGGAACACCUGCGGCGAAGGCGGGUUGCUGGGCUGAUACUGACGCUGAUGCGCGAAAGCCAGGGGAGCGAACGGG
Molecule: ribosomal RNA, 253 nt
Filed under: uncultured bacterium
Lineage: Bacteria
Description: partial 16S ribosomal RNA
Rfam family: Bacterial small subunit ribosomal RNA
Source: RNAcentral